CAUCAAAGGGAGAAAUGAGACGUUUUCCUUCAAGAAGAAAACUACACCAAUCUUAGAGCAAUCCUGACAUGAACCAAGGAAAGGACCAACAGGAGGAACAGGAACAAGCAAUUGUGGACUGAGUCAGCUAAGAUGGUCACUGCUGCUCAAGGAGGUCAAGAUCGUCAACUCAAGUCACCUUUGUUGAUCAAGAAGGAUGAUCCUGGUGUUCCAAGCAUCGAGUGCACAAUCAACGGAUAUUUUUUUCAGAAGACACUCUACGACACCGGAUCUGACGUCAACAUGAUGGCCGCAGUCACUUAUCAGCUCCUGCAUGGAACCAUGCCCCUACAACCGAUAUACAUUCAGCUCUAGAUGGCAGAUCAGACAUUCCGUAAGGUUAUUGACAUGGGAGAAGACGAGUACAAUCCACCCGUCAUCCUUGGAAGACCGUUCCUCAGCACCGUUAAAGCAAUCAUCUACAUUGGAACCGGAGAAGUCCACAUGCACUUCCCCUCAGAGAAGGUACGCCACUGUUUACUAACCUUAACUACAUAGUUGAAAGACUCUAAGCAGGUCAGCACAAGAAGAAGACGACGCAACCGCAACCAGAGUAGGCAAAUUAUCAAGGACGGAUGGGUAGACUAUAAAGGAGAAGUUGUAAGGUCUGAAGACAUACAACUUGAACAGAACUGUCCUGAGGAGACCGUAGCACCGAGUCAGGUGUGUAGAGAGAAGAUAGUUAUACAUGAAGACCAGGCGCUGCCGGAACCACUGACUACGCCAUCCAGCGAAUCCUAGGACAACUGAGAAAAUAGAGAGUCCCGUUCGGAGGACUUAAAAACACUGAACGCCUUGCCAAGAGGUAAACUUGGUAGUUAUCUUUUUCCUUUCAAUUAUUUAAAAUAGUUUGCUUAGUUAAUCAGGUUCACAUCAUCUUUAAAAGAAAAUAAAAAUGUUAAAAAAUAGUAAGCCCCAUGUGAGUAUGCUCAUGGCAUAAAACCCAUAAGAAAAUUCACUGUGGUGGCAUAAAAAUAAAUAUAUGUAUUCCUGUCCUAUAAAAAUGAAAAUAUAAAAAUAAAUUUAUGAUCCUACUAAAGAGAGUAACAUUUAUUGAGGAGGCUCAACAUGAUAAAGGCUAGGUAUUUAUGCUAACACUUAACCAGUUCCACAAAGCUUUGUUUUCUAUUUGAGCUCCACAUAAUUCAAGGAUCAAAGAAGACUAGCAGACGGAUGACAUCCUAAUCGCUAUCAGGGUGCUGCUGACAUUCAAAUACACCUCCACCACUUGCUAGCUACAUUAAAAGAAACUACGUCAAAAUCCAGCUUGGGGGAGAGCACCCCCAUUUAUCCAGCUAAGUUUCUACUCACGUUUAUACUUUACUCAAAUAAUAAAAAGAUGCAUAAUCAUAAAAACUCAAAUAAAAAUUUUUGUGCUUAUAUAUAUAUAUCCUUGCUAUAGUUUGCUAAAUAAAUAAAUAAAUAAAGUUUGCUAUGAACCCUCGUGAUAAGCUAUCACAUGGAUAUGAUGAAUAGUUGCUCUGCCUAAUUUGCACAUUUGAAGUUCUCUCUCAAGUUUAGCUAUAGCUGUUAUAAUUUAAAACUUGCUCUAGAUCUAAACUUGUGGGAUGAAAACUUGAUCUGAUGUCUAAGUUGUUAACGGAUACGAUAUGGGAAGGUUGAGCUGCUGUUUAUCUGUUCCUAGAGAUACUAGAAUUUUGGAGAACUUUAUCUUUGAAAAUCUUUAAAAUGUUGCAUGAUGAGUUCCUGUAUGAUGAGAGUUUAAAUUCCUACCACAGCCAUAUAUACAUGCUUGCUAGACUUUGAGCCACACAUUUAUUUACUACUUAUGAGCAUUGAGUGUGGUCAAGCUGUGUAGACCCUUAGGAGCUUGUCAUGUGGUUAAAUCAAGAUUCACUUGCACGUUCACUCAUAUAUGUUACUUCUACUCCGGAAGUACCAUCCACAUAUAUCCACUCAUUUCCAUCUCCAGAACCACCUAAAAAUAUUCUACUCCUAAUCCGGGAGAGAAUAACCAAAAAUAUUUCUGUUUUUCCCCUAUGAAAUAAAUGCUCAAGUUAUCUUGUUACUACCACUUGCUAUAUUAUCUCAAGAGAUGAGUGCUCUAAAAAAAAUAUAUACGAGGAAAUAAAAAGGGGCAAGUGCCCGAAACCUCGAAAGAAAAGAAAAAAAAAGAGAGAGAGAAAAAAAAAGAGAGAAAAAAAAGUGAGACGAGAGGUAAAAAUGGACAAGUGUCCGACAGUAGAAUUAGGGGUACAAGAUACCCGUUUGAGAGAAAAAUAAAAUAUAGAGCAUCUCAUUCUCCCUGAAAGUUUCAAAAGAGCAAGAAAGGUAUGUAUCCCCUCAAAAGAGCAUAAGUAGAAUUAGACUUCCACCAUUGUUAUCACCAUCAUCACCAUACACCAUUCAUUCGCCACACAUGCACAUCUUGAUUUGACUUAUUGAUUUGUUUCUUUGGAUCCAUGGUUUGACUAUACAAUAAAUGUCUUGUAAGUAUGUAUUAGCUGUCUCCCACCUAUGAGCUCCAGAUAUCAAAAGCCUUAUUAGAGUAGGGUGAGAGAGAAGGCAAUGUCACUAUGCCUUAUACCAAAAAUACCACAUAAUUUGAGAGAAGGCAUAUACCAAUACUGCCUUGGUAAGGAUCCAGAAAUACCACAAAAGAGAGACUAGAGAGAGUCAUACAAGGAAUCUCUGAGUUUUAUUUGAAAAUCUGCAAAAACUCCAGAGCUAUAGUUGAUCAAGAACAUUAGACAUGGUGCUUGACUAGACCGUUCUAUCUUUUAACUGCUCAAGACACAAGUGACGGUUACAAGCCCCAUGGUGAAAGGUAAAUGAGUAAGUUUUAAGUCUUAACAGUUUACUCUAACCAGAGAUGAGAUCUUGUUUAAACGCAUGUGUAUCUUUAAGUUAUGAAACCACUGUAGAAACUCUUGAGUUCAUCUUUGCUCAGGGACGAGCAAAGGUUAAGCUUGGGGGAGCUUGUUGACGGUCCUUAAUGCUCACAAUUAACCAUCAACUAAUCAUGGAAAAGGAUCCAAAUGCAACCAACACCUAGACUUAAGGUUUUAUCUGACAGAAUUCCACAAGUUUUGGUGUUUGUCUAUUUCUGCAGGGGGUUAUCAGGAAAUACGGAAGAAAGGCCCACACGUCGGGUUGACAUAGAGAUAUUAACGUGCCGCGCAAUUUUACGUCAUCUAGAAGACUCCAGAAGCCACGGGAACGAACGGGAAGGCGAACGGGCCCGGGGGCAGGGCGCCCGCCCACCCCCCUUGGGCGCCCGCCCAGGAGUUGUAGUCAGACACGUCGAACUUUGCGGACAACGCUCCACCGACCUAAAGGAUCAAGGAAAACCACACGAUCAAUGUCGGUUUGAUCCGAUGGCCCAGAUUCACUUGAAGGGACUAUAAAACCAGACCCCUGGCCCCUGGAGAUCAUACCUCUUCUACAGAAUCAAAGCUAGGGUUUCAAUUCUUCAUCCAAGUAGAGAGGAUCCCUCUAGUUCUUCUAGUUCUACCUCUAGUUCAUCUAGAUCUAGUUCUAGUUCAUCUAGUUCUAGUUCCUCUAGUUCUAGUUCUAGUUAGUUCUAGUUGUAAUCUAGAAAAUAGGGAGAGAGAAGAGGAGAGCGGAGGAGGAGCCGGAUCUGUCGGAUCUUCCUCAACAUUGUACUUUUGCAGCAACUGGUUUGUUCUUCAUCGUUCUCCAGGUUCUUCAAUUCAUAAUCCUGAGUUCUUUAAUUACUUUUAUUUACAUUCAAGUUAUUUAUUGGAUUCCCGCUUGCAUCAAGUGCUCUAGUCUUUAUAACGCUAGAGUAGUAAUUAAUAGAUUAGACGUGGUGUUUAGUCUUGCAAUUACCUGGAAUUGCACCCAAUCCUGCGGAUUGUUGUGGUAGCCUUAGGGUAGUGACAGCCCUAACGGUCGACGUAUUCCACCACGUUCGGAUCGGUGUUUGUAGGACCGUAGUCAGACCUUCCUAGCCCCCUUCUCAUCUCUUUCUGUGGUUAGUGCUCUGAUGUCCCGACAUAGAUAAUCUUGAAGUAAUUCUUGAUUCUUAGAUCAACUAGAGAACUCUCAGGAAACUUCCUCUCUUCCCACCAAAAACAAUUAUAUAGUUAUCCUUGGCGAUUUUGGAUCUUAAUUAGUACACUCACGUUCCCUGUGGAAAAUCGAUACUCUGGAAUACUCCCGGGUGAAGGCUACAUCGGUAUCCGUGCGCUUGCGGAUUUUUCUGUUUGCGUUUAAAAUACCCAACACAUCUCUCUUGAGCCAUGUUAUUCUAUGCAAAAAUGUGUUUUAAAUUGCUUAAAUAGGCUUCCUAUGCUUAUGUUUGAGUGAACCAUGCUUGUGUUUGUGCUCAAUGCUUUGGUAAUUAGUUUAUCUAUGCUUAACUCAACCUUGGGAACAAUGUUCAUGUUGAUCACUUCUCCAAAAUAUGCCUCUAAGUCAUACUUGUGUAAAUAGACCCUAGAAACCUCUUUUGCUUAGGCUUUUAAAAAGUGUUUCAUAAAAUGUUUGCAUGUCAAAACUAACUACAGCAAAGUUGUAGCAAAUUUUAUAAGGAACAAAAGUUGUUUUAUGUCCAUCUCAUGAAAAUGAUCACAAAUAGCUCAAAAGUGACCCACAAGGCAGAUUUGGGGCUGUUUCCAACACUUAGAAAAUUUUCUAAGUCUUGGAACGAAACGGGUUUGCUCGAUUGAUUUGAAAACUCUAUAUCUCUCAAUCCCGGCUGAUCUGGCCUUUGCUCUAGUUGACAAAGUUGUAGAACUCGUUUGGAACUCCAACUUUGUCAACUGCAUCAUCUUCUAACUCGGUCUGGUUUGGGAGAUAAUCAUCGGUGAAGUUGCUCUGUCAGACUGUCAUCGUUUCUUCUGAAUCGACGCCGAGCUCGUCGACGUGGCCAACCGGCGGCAGAGCUCCGUCGACAUUUGGCGCCCGUACGCCGUUCUUGGCCCCGCCUGUCAGCUUCCGUCGCGUGCAUGACCUACACGGCGUCGCCCGCGCAGAGUGGACGCGUCCACUUCGCUCUUCCUCGCCUCCACUCACCAGAAAAGCUUCCGCAGCGAGCUCACCGUCGCGAGCUCACUCCGGCGAGCUCGUGUGCGCUCCUCGCUGCAUCCCAGUUCACCAAAUUCCAGCCACAGCUCCGCCGUGAACCGCUCUCCAAUCUCCACCCUCUAACUCGCCGAGAAACCCACCGGUGAGCCGACAUUUUCUUCUUCCCCCAAAUCGGGUCGCCGUGACCGUUUUCUCCGGCGAACUCAAUGCCGAGCCCUGUGAAGCCUCUCGUCGUCUCUGGUUAGGUCCUAGAGGUAGCUUAGGUUCUUAGCAAGCUUUUGCGCCACUUGGUGGACGCUCUACCAAGCUCUCCGUCGCCGGACACGGUGCGCAGCGCCGCCGUGCUUCCGCCGGAGAUGGGUGCUCUCGUGGCCAGCGUGUUCCACGAGGAUCCAAGCCAAGCCGCGUACCUAGGAAGCUCCGCCGUAGUUCGCUGGUGCUGUAGAAGGCCUUAGGUCGCGCUCUACCGGCCUGAGGGCUCCGGCGUAACGCCGAGCACCUCCGCCGAGCCGCCAUCGUCGACGGUGAGCCCCUUCCGGUGGCUCCGCCGUGGAGAAAAGGGGGUCAAUCGAGUCGCUAGGGUUUGGGGAUCACGAUGAUGCCCUUGGUUUGGCCGGAGACCUCGCCGUCGCGGAGAAAUCGCCGGCGAAAGUCGCCUCGGCCGUGAGGAAGAAGGACCUGACAGAUGGGGUCCACUGUCAGUGUCUCCUCUUUCCCUCCUUUUCUUUAUUUCAAAAUCCUGAUUUUUGACUUUCUUGCAAAAAUCAUAUCUCCUGUUUCUGAGAUCCAAAAAUUGUAAAACAAAUUUUGUGGUAUUCCUUGAGAUGGCUAGUUUUUAAUAAAAAUAUAAAAUGAACCAUGUUUUGUGGGAAAUUAUUUAUUAAGGAUUUAAUCCUGUUAUUCAUGGAUAAAUGCAUAUCUCUUGUUAUACUGCUUAGUUUGCUCUGAAAAGUUUAUGGUAGCCUCUGUAUGGUAUUAGAAUGCUUUGAUAAAUACUUCAUGAUUUUUGGAAUACUGCAGCUUUGAUAUGUAAUUUAUGAUUGAAAUAUGGCUUGUUUCUUGAUUAAAUCAUAUAAAAUAAUUGGUACUUAUGCUGGUACUCUACUUUGGUAGUAAACUGGUUUAUGGCAUUCCUAAUGUGUAAAUAAUCUGAAAUCUGUUGUUUGGCAUAAUAUAAGUCAUGUUUCUGAAUUUAUGAAAUAAACACCUAGGCACAUGUUAAAUACAUAUCUUUAAUUUGGUAUGUUCAAUUGCUCUGAAAUUUUUAUGGUGAUACUUUGAUGAUGUCCUUGUGCUGCUGUAAUUUGUAUAGAUUUUUCGGAGCACUUUGACUAGUAUCUUGUAAUUAUGCUCUUAUUUAGAAUUAAUUAAUAAAUGUCUUGCUAAGUAUAUGUUUGAGGGUUGUCAUCUGAUGUUCUGGUAAUCUUGUAAUAUGCUUGUGCUCAUAAGCUAUGUGAUUGGCAUUGUUUGUGUUUUGGUCAUGUCAUUAAAUAAUUAACUAUAGGGUUAAAUGCUGUUCUGGACAGCAAGGAAGCAAUUUAACUGUUGCUUAAUGAUAACUUGACUUUCUGUGAAACUUGUCUAAAUCAAAGUUGUUCUAAACUUAUUGAACUAGCUGUGGUUUAAAUUUGAGGUCAUUUGGCCAAGUAGUUUAAAAGUUAUAGCUGUUCCAAGUUGGGUUCCAGAAAUAGGUGUUCUCUGUUUUUCUGGGACAGAACAUGGAACCUUGUUUAAAUGACUGGUUUAAUAUAUGAAUCAUGCUGUGGUGUUUAAAGAUGAUUCGUAGACAAUUUCAUAAGCUUUCCAGAAUGUCUUUAUUUGUGAUUGUUGGAUUUGUCUAUGAUUAGUUAUGAUUUAUUUACUGAGUGUACUUGUUUUAUAUUGCUUGCUGUUUUAGUAUCAUGAUAGGUUUUGGGUUACGCUAACUUGUUUACUUGUGUGAGCUUGUAUAACUUUUGCUCCGUAAAUGUGUAUCCAGUGAGUUGCUUCUGUUAUUGAGCAUUCAUCGUUAGCAUGUGCAUCUUCUUAUUGUUCGAGCAUGCAAUAGGUGUAUCGGACGCGACAGCCUCUUUCGAGCUGCAAGUGAAUCCCGAAGGUCAGGAGGGCAGCCAAGAGGUGGAGGUCCAGCAAGCCGGACUCGAGGAGCCCGAAGAAGAAGUUGAGUGCCCGAAUCACGAGCCGGCAUCGUUUGUGAAAGGCAAGCCCCGGAGCAUUCUAAGUCACCCAUUACUUUCAAAAGUUUACUUACUAUGUUAUAUCUAUUGAUGCAUUAAGUUUAGGAGUUGUGGUGAAAACCUUUGCUGCACUUUAUUCCAUCCUUGUCCAGAUAAUUCAUCCUACACUGGUUGUAGAGUUAGGAUCGAGUAGCAGCUUAGCCAUGCUUAAAUCGGUAGAAGUCGGGUGAUAUCCUGUCACCUGCGCGAUAUAGGAUUAUGUCGGAUCACGAUGGUCUAUAUGUGCUAUCGUGAAUGGAACCUGUUUUAAUUGACUUAAGCCGGGCGGAGUUUUGCAAGUUGGUAGUAACUCCGUCUGUGGCAGCUAAGGACCGAUCGUUGUACGUCCUCUUGUCAUGUUGAACGCAUGCCUGACACUUAGUUGGCCGGAUAACUCGUUCCGACCGUGAAGCCGAGUAGUAUGACUCAGGCCGGAAGACCGGCAAGUAUAAAGUGCGCACUACCGGAGGAAGUGCGGUGUGUGGGGGACCAUUGGCGUAAGCCCAAAGGCAGGUGAGUUAAAAUUCUUGACCUCCCUGGCAGAGUGGUAGCCCUGGGAGUGCGGCGCUGAUCGGAGCCGCGAUUCCUGAGUUGUACCAAAGGUGACCCGUUGGCUCUCCGGCAGGGGAUGCUUGGGUGAGUGCUAGGAAUAACCCUCCAGCUGGAUAGGAAUCCGAUUCGAAUCGCCGUCUCUCCCGGUUAGUGAGAACUUGACAGAGCAGCGGCAAACGUAGCAUUCACUAAUGAACUUGGUUCAUGAUAAGGAUGAUAGCAAGAAGAACACAUGAUGAAUUUGAUAUGGUUAUUAUUGUUUGUAAUAAUCAAGUGAUGUGUUGUAGUACAGGUGCUAAUAUAGUGGUAGGCUGAUGAUAAAUAAAAAUGAUGCUCUCAAAAUAAUUUAGUUGUAAGUUAAGCUUUUGGCAAAAAGGUGAGUCAACCAGCUCCACUUGAUAUUUAGCCUUGCAUGAUCCUUAGUGUCUUUUAUGUUUUACUAGACGGGUAAGUCUAGCUGAGUACAUUCUCGUACUCAGGGUUUAUUCCCACCUGUUGCAGAUGACAUCUUCUAUGACGGAUUCUGCAAGACCUGUCUCCAUCCCGCUGGGGAUGAGGACUAACCGUUGGGCACGGUUCUCUAACAAUUUCGUACCUGUUGCUUUUGGAAGGAUGACGUAGACUCUGGCAGUAACUCAAACUUAUGAACUGAACUUCGAAAUGUGUGUGUAACUAUUUUGCUUCCGCUACUUUGGACAAGUGUUGUAAUAACUUAAUACUCCGAUGUGGUGCCGCUUCGACGGCAAUGAAUGACUUUGUAACAUUCGUUAUGUUUAUGUUGAACUAUUACGAUCUUGGUUUGUUGCGAGUUGGUUUGAAGUCCUUCGUGAUUUCAAUUGACUACCGGGAUUAUAUGGGCUCAAGUUUGGAAACUUGAUUGCUUGGCGAUCGUUUCUACACUUGAACUCUUAUAAUUUGGUCGGUUCUGUGACAGCUGGCAUCGGAGCAAGUUCAGCAUUAUAAAUGCAACGUUUGUGUAUUUAAAACAAAUGAGUUUUUAAAUAAAAUGGUGUAAAACAAAUAAUUAAGUUAUGCCAGUGGUCGAAUCCUCCUUGCCCACACAAGGACCCUAGGUGGCUAUUUAAGUACUGACUUGGGGGGUUUUAUUUAUGCAUCUCUGGCAGUACUCAGGUAUGGAUGUGUGAUGACCGCACUAUGCUACCCUGUGGUCUAAUGGUGGAGGUAGCCUUCAUAUGUGAAUUAGCCACAUAUGUCGCUAGAUUUAAAUUAUGCAACGUCGCACCUACGCCCUGGUAAGUGUGAGCUGUGAGAGCAUGAUCGUCCAAAUGGCGGUCUAGGGGAGUGUUCGCGGUGGUUUUCUGGAGUGGAUACAUGUCAAAACCAUGGAACCACGAAAGAAACUUAAUUGGGGAGCAUUUAAAUUCUCGGGUAGCUGUGGUGUCAUUGUUUGUGCAUGUUGGGCAUGUCCGAGCAAUGUGCACUUAGUUUACUGCUUUCUUGAGUGAUAUAUUGGGAAUUGUUGGGCUGAAAUAAAGUUUUCUGCAGGUACUCUAACAGCGCACAUGUAAAUCGAUAGUUAUCGUAUCGAGAGACGAAUGUAUGCCACCGUAUAUCCGUUAGAAUAUUAAUUUUCUAAGUUUGUGAGGACGUACGGUUCGUGCAUGCAUCAUGUCGCAUUCAUACAUACAUUCUGUCUACUCCUUCCCUUACAAUUUUGUCCCUUUUAAUUAAAUAAAUGUUGCUUAACUAAUCCUCUUUUACCCAUGGUAUUCCUAUUCCUUUCCACAUAUGGACGCACCCGCUUCACCCCGUCCCAGUGACACUUUCUUGCACGAGUUUGGUACUCCUACCCUGCUCUGGAGAGUGUUACGGACUGUUGGGUAUACUGAGCCACCUCAGUAAUCUUGGUGGGAGAUGGAGAGCACAGGAGGAAUUCAGUGGUUUGCUGUGCAGGGAGUUGUUCCUCCACAUGGGGACAAGCCGGCAUGGACAGGCUGGACUUGUAGCUCAGAUGGGCAGACUCCCUGGGAGGCAGCUCAGGUUGCAGCCCAGACUAUCCUGCUCGAUAUCUGUCAGAGGUUUGGAGAUGAGCUGACGGGAGGACCAGCGGCCUCCAUUCCUAGUGCUGACCCAGCAGCAGCGGAGUGGAAACAGGCUGACGGUUGUGCUUUGGUUCGAGGCAGAGGAGAGAGAGCUGAGAGUUCUAGUCCUGCUAUGAGUGCUAUGAUGGCUGUGCUCAAGCUGAUCAGUCAGCGAGAGGGCACCUAUGCACAGGUGAUGGUGGCUGUUCGCCGGGCCCAGGAGAUGCAGCGGAAGGCUGAAAAGCGUGCUCGCAAGUUUUGCAAGCAAGCUAGACUCCUGGAGCAAGCUCAGAAGGACCGCAAUGACUGGGAAGACAUUACGGAGUAUCGUAGGCAGCAGUGGGUGAAAGCCAUUAGGGAGAGAGAUCAUAAGCAGGAACAGAUGAGCCAAUUAGCUAGAGAGAGGGAGACCUUGCAGGAGCGCUUGGUGCAGCUCACUCGUGAGAGGGAUACUGCAGUCCGCGUGUCGGAGAACAGGCGCCAAGCAUGGGAGAUGCACCGAGUUCAGUCGCUUGAGCGGGAGAACUACCUGCAGGAUCAGAUUGAGGCUGGUCUUGUGGAGAUUCACCGUCUCAACAACUUGCUACACCCUAUUCCUCGCCCUAUACCCGUGUAUCCAGAGGUGGGACCUCAGGUGAUUGUGGCCGAUGAUGAUGGUAUGGAUGCCGAUGGACCAGCAGCGGCUGCACCACCUUUGCACGAGGACGUGGAGGACGAGGAGCUUGAGCCGGUUAGCGACGAGGAUGGAGAGGCAAUCUUUGACGCUGACUCAGACGACGAGCCUAGAGUUUAGGGAGUAGUGGGUAGUGUCUUGUGAGGAUCUUUUGUAGUUGGCAGCUAGUGGUGAUGCUUUUGUAACCAUGUUGUAAUCUGGAACCUUGACCUUGACUCAUGGCAUGUACUGUGAUGGCGUAAUAACUUUAUGGACCCGAUGUGCAGUCUUUUAUGAUCGUUAUGUUAUGCCGAUGUUUUCCGUUGUGGUGCAUAUUGCGGAUAUCUAUGGCAUGUGUUGGAUUGGUGAUGUUGUUUUGUGGAAUUGAAUUAUUGUGCCUUUUCUAUAAAGCUAUUCUCUCGAAUACUUUCAGGCAUAAAUAUAAGUUCUUCUGCAGCAAAUCUUGUCAUCAUCAAUGCUCACUGACUGUGUCUUUACAGAUGUCUCGUGGCACCCGAGGUGCGGAACAGCGUGCUAACAUGAAUCCACCACCUCCUCCCCCACCACCAAAUCCAGCUGAGCUGAUGCAAAUGAUGGUGGAAAAUCAGAGGAUGCUCACUGAGACCAUCAAUCGAAUGGCAAAUCAGGGUGGUCGUAAUGCACAUGAAGGGCCAGUUCCUAACCAGUACAGUAGCUUCAAGGACUUCAUGGAUACAAAGCCCCCACCCUUCAGAGAAGCUGAAGAACCCCUUCAGGCUGAAGAAUGGCUGAACAUGGUGGAACAAAAGUUCCGCUUGCUUCGGUUGACUGAAGGUCUGAAGGCAGAGUAUGCAGCUCACCAAUUGCAAGGACCGGCUGGUAUCUGGUGGAAUCAGUAUCGGGAAGCUCUUCCAGCCGACACCGUGCUUGAUUGGAAUCUUUUUCGUGAUGCUUUUAAAGGGCAUUUCAUUCCUCCUGGUGUUAUGGAGAUGAAGCAUACUGAGUUCAUGCAGUUAACUUAGGGCAACAGGACUUUGAAGGAGUAUUUACAUGCUUUCAAUCAUUUGUCUAGAUAUGCUCCUGAGUUUGUGAACACAGAGACGAAGAAGAUUGCUAGUUUCAAGUGGGGUUUGGGCCCCAAAUUGCUGAAGACUAUGGGCCGCACUAAGUGUGCAACUUUCAAUGAGUUUGUCAGUGAUGCUCUCACUCAAGAGAACUAUAACACUGUGUACACUGCGACCAAGACUUGCAAGAGGGCUUUUGAGGCUGGGGCUGGGUCAUCUCAGUCCAAGGCUCCAGUGGCAGCUAAGCCACCGUUCCGUGCUCCAACGCCGAAUCAAAGGUACCGCCCUCCAGUGAAGAAGAAUCAGGCCAAGACGGGUUUUCGCAAGGGAUACUCUAUUGCUCUUCCUAGGGGCAAUACGGGUCCCAACUAUGCCAAGACUCCACCUGCCAACCGUCCGUGCUGGAACUGCAAUCAGACCGGGCAUUGGCAGAGCAACUGUCCUUACCCGCCGAAGAAGGGCAACCAAGGGAACGUUCGUCAAGGGCGUGUUCACUACACCACUGUGGAAGCAAUCCCUGCUGGCGAAGUAGUCACGGCUGGUAAGUUUCUGGUAAAUCAACAUGAUGCACUCGUGCUUUUUGAUUCUGGAGCAUCGCAUUCCUUUGUGAGUUCUGAAUUUGUGUCUCAGCAUAGCAUCAAGGCCAUUACACUUGAUAAGGGCAGUUAUUGCAUUAGUGCUGCGGGAAAUGAUAUUUCCACCAAUCAAGUGGUUUUGGGGGCAACUCUGGAAAUGGGAGGCCGUCAGUUUCUUGCUGAUUUGGUUGUUCUACCCGGUAUGGGCAUAGAUGUAAUUCUGGGGAUGAAGUGGAUGAGUGGCAAUGGAGUUCUUAUUGACACGACCACUCGUGUAGUGAUGUUGAAAGACCCAAACACCAAGGAGGCAUUUCUGGUGCAACUUCCUCGGGAUAUUCAAAUCCGUAGCACUGUGAAUGCAGUUACAUCUAAGGCUAUUCAGGAUAUUCCGGUGGUGUGUGAGUUUCCGGAUGUAUUUCCCGAGGAUCUUCCCAGGCUUCCUCCGGAUCGGGAUGUGGAGUUCAAAAUUGAAUUGAUUCCAGGUACCGCUCCUAUCUCGAGAAGACCUUAUAGAAUGCCACCCAAUGAAUUAGCUGAGCUUAAGACCCAACUAAAUGAGUUGUUGAAGAAGGGUCUUAUUCGUCCUAGUUCUUCUCCUUGGGGUUGUGCAGCUAUCUUUGUGAAGAAGAAGGAUCAAUCGUUGCGCAUGUGUGUGGACUAUCGUCCCCUAAAUGCGGUGACUAUCAAGAACAAAUACCCUCUUCCUCGCAUUGAUAUCUUGUUUGAUCAGUUGUCUAAAGCUAAGGUAUUCUCCAAGAUUGAUUUGUGAUCUGGGUACCAUCAGAUCAAGAUCCGUCCUGAGGAUGUACCUAAGACAGCUUUCUCGACAAGGUACGGGUUGUAUGAGUACCUUGUCAUGUCCUUCGGUUUGACGAAUGCACCUGCUCACUUCAUGUAUCUCAUGAAUUCGGUGUUCAUUCCUGAAUUGGACAAGUUUGUGGUGGUCUUCAUUGAUGAUAUCUUGGUAUAUUCCUGCAAUGAAGGGGAGCAUGCAGAGCAUCUGCGUGUAGUGUUGACGCAUUUGCGCGAACAUCAGCUUUAUGCCAAGUUUAGCAAAUGCAAGUUUUGGCUAAAGAAAGUACCUUUCUUAGGCCAUGUCUUAUCUGAAGAAGGCAUAUCGGUGGAUCCAGCUAAGGUGCAAGAAGUGCUGGAUUGGAAAGUUCCAACUUCGGUACACGAGGUUCGGAGUUUUCUCGGUCUUGCUGGAUAUUACCGUCGAUUCAUUCCCGAAUUCUCAAAGAUAUCCAAGCCUAUGACUCGGCUACUUCAGAAAGAUUAGAAGUUUGUGUGGACGCCUGAAUGUGAAGAGGCAUUUCACAAGUUGAGGACAUUGCUGACAUCAGCUCCUGUCCUAGCUCAACCUGAUAUCGAGAAGCCCUUCGAUGUCUUUUGCGAUGCGUCAGGCAUCGGUUUAGGCUGUGUGUUGAUGCAGGAAGGUCGCGUUAUCGCGUAUGCCUCGCGCCAACUUUGAAAGCAUGAGGUCAAUUACCCUACUCAUGACUUAGAAUUGGCAGCAGUUGUUCAUGCCUUGAAAACCUAGAGGCAUUAUCUGCUGGGUAAUCUGUGUAAUAUCUACACCGAUCACAAGAGCCUCAAGUAUAUCUUCACUCAACCUGAACUGAACAUGCGGCAGCGAAGAUGGCUUGAGUUGAUUAAAGAUUAUAAUCUCCAAGUGCACUAUCAUCCGGGCAAGGCAAACGUAGUGGCGGAUGCCUUGAGUCGGAAAGCGCACUGUCACUCAAUCCAAGUGGAAGAUCCGUUGUUGUCACAUCUUAUGCAUCCACUUGUGCUCAACCAGAUUUCUCUGGAGAGUACCAUUCGCAAUCGAGUCAUCGAAUUGCAGCAGACAGAUGUAGGCAUCCACCAUAUAAAGAGGAAAAUGAAGGAAGAAGAAACCAAGCAUUUCCGGGUCGAUGAGGAUGGAAUCCUUUGGUUCAAGGAUCGACUUGUAGUCCCAAAAGACCGUGAACUGCGAAAUCAGAUCCUAUCUGAAGCUCAUUCCUCCAAAUUGUCUAUCCAUCCUGGUAGUAGCAAGAUGUAUCAGGAUUUAAAACCUUUGUUUUGGUGGACAAAGAUGAAAAAGGAGAUAGCUGCUUUUGUCACUCGUUGUGACAAUUGUUGUCGUGUGAAGGCUGUUCACAUGAAAGCUGGUUUGCUUCAACCCUUGUCAAUUCCUGGUUGGAAAUGGGAAGAAGUCAGCAUGGAUUUCAUCAGUGGACUCCCAACUUCUGUUAAGGGUUACGACUCCAUCUGGGUGAUUGUAGAUCGCUUGACCAAGGUUGCUCGAUUUAUUCCAGUUCGAACUGACUAUCGUUCACAUCAGUAUGCAGAGUUGUAUUUUGAGCACAUUGUUCGUCAGUAUGGUGUGCCUCGAACAAUCAUAUCAGAUCGUGGACCACAGUUCACUGCUCGUUUUUGGGAAUGUCUGCAUGAGCAAAUUGGUACUCAUUUAGUCCGUAGCUCUGCUUAUCAUCCCCAAACGGCUGGUCAAACUGAACGAGAUAACCAAAUCCUCGAAGACAUGUUGAGGGCAUGCGCUCUCUCUUCAAAAGGUUCUUGGGUUAAGUGGUUGCCAUUAGCUGAGUUCUCCUACAACAAUAGUUAUCAGGAGAGUAUCAAGAUGGCUCCAUUUGAAGCCUUGUACGGUCGAAAGUGUCGAACCCCGUUGAAUUGGGUAGAAGCUGGAGAGAGAAGGUUUUAUGGCAUCGAUUUCGUGAACGAAGCCGAGCAGAAAGUCCGUACUAUCCAGCAACAUCUGGAAGCUGCUCAAGCUCGUCAGAAAAGUUAUGCCGACAAGAGAAGGAAGCCGAUUGAGUUUUCGGUUGGUGACCAUGUGUACAUCAAGGUGUCUCCGAUGAAGGGUGUACAAAGGUUUGGAGUCAAGCGAAAGCUUGCACCUCGCUAUGUGGGACCUUAUCGGAUUCUCGAAAAGAAAGGGAAUGUGGCAUACAAAGUUCAACUCCCAGUUGCGCUUCGAGCUAUUUUCCCUGUCUUCCACGUAUCACAGUUGAAGAAGUGCCUUCGUGUACCGGAGGAGCGAGUGGAAGUUCGAGAUAUCAAGUUGAAGUCAGAUCUGGUGUAUGAGGAGAGACCUGUGGCGAUUCUUGAUCGCAAGGAACGGGAGACGCGUAAUCGUAUGGUUAAGCUCUACAAGGUGUUGUGGAGCAACCACGGGGAAGAAGAUGCCACUUGGGAGACGGAGGAUUAUUUAAAAGAAGUUUACAAAACCUUCUUCGAAAAUCAGUAAGCUUUCAAAUCUCGGGACGAGAUUUUUGUUAGGGGGGAGGGCUGUAACACCCCAGUGUUAUGGUUGCAUCAAUCAUGUGCAUAGCAUGAGCAUCAUCAUCUACUCAAAGCAUAUCAUGAUCAUCAUCUCUCUUGAGCCAUGGCAUUCUAUGCAAAAAUGUGUUUUAAAUUGCUUAAAUAGGCUUCCUAUGCUUAUGUUUGAGUGAACCAUGCUUGUGUUUGUGCUCAAUGCUUUGGUAAUUAGUUUAUCUAUGCUUAACUUAACCUUGGGAACAAUGUUCAUGUUGAUCACUUCUCCAAAAUAUGCCUCUAAGUCAUACUUGUGUAAAUAGACCCUAGAAACCUCUUUUGCUUAGGCUUUUAAAAAGUGUUUCAUAAACUGUUUUCAUGUCAAAACUUCCUACAGAAAAGUUGUAGAAAAUUUUAUAAGGAACAAAAGUUGUUUUAUGGCCAUCUCAUGAAAAUGAUCACAAAUAGCUCAAAAGUGACCCACAAUGCAGAUUUGGGGCUGUUUCCAACACUUAGAAAAUUUUCUAAGUCUUGGAACGAAACCGGUUUGCUCGAUUGAUUUGAAAACUCUAUAUCUCUCAAUCCCGGCUGAUCUGGCCUUUGCUCUAGUUGACAAAGUUGUAGAACUCGUUUGGAACUCCAACUUUGUCAACUGCAUCAUCUUCUAACUCGGUCUGGUUUGGGAGAUAAUCAUCGGUGAAGUUGCUCUGUCAGACUGUCAUCGUUUCUUCUGAAUCGACGCCGAGCUCGUCGACGUGGCCAACCGGCGGCAGAGCUCCGUCGACAUUUGGCGCCCGUACGCCGUUCCUGGCCCCGCCUGUCAGCUUCCGUCGCGUGCAUGACCUCCACGGUGUCGCCCGCGCAGAGUGGACGCGUCCACUUCGCUCUUCCUCGCCUCCACUCGCCAGAAAAGCUUCCGCAGCGAGCUCACUGUCGCGAGCUCCCUCCGGCGAGCUCGUGUGCGCUCCUCGCUGCAUCCCAGUUCACCAAAUUCCAGCCACAGCUCCGCCGUGAACCGCUCUCCAAUCUCCACCCUCUAACUCGCCGAGAAACCCACCGGUGAGCCGACAUUUUCUUCUUCCCCCAAAUCGGGUCGCCGUGACCGUUUUCUCCGGCGAACUCAAUGCCGAGCCCUGUGAAGCCUCUCGUCGUCUCUGGUUAGGUCCUAGAGGUAGCUUAGGUUCUUAGCAAGCUUUUGCACCACUUGGUGGACGCUCUACCAAGCUCUCCGUCGCCGGACACGGUGCGCAGCGCCGCCGUGCUUCCGCCGGAGAUGGGUGCUCUCGUGGCCAGCGUGUUCCACGAGGAUCCAAGCCAAGCCGCAUACCUAGGAAGCUCCGCCGUAGUUCGCUGGUGCUGUAGAAGGCCUUAGGUCGCGCUCUACCGGCCUGAGGGCUCCGGCGUAACGCCGAGCACCUCCGCCGAGCCGCCAUCGUCGACGGUGAGCCCCUUCCGGUGGCUCCGCCGUGGAGAAAAGGGGGUCAAUCGAGUCGCUAGGGUUUGGGGAUCACGAUGAUGCCCUUGGUUUGGCCGGAGACCUCGCCGUCGCGGAGAAAUCGCCGGCGAAAGUCGCCUCGGCCGUGAGGAAGAAGGACCUGACAGAUGGGGUCCACUGUCAGUGUCUCCUCUUUCCCUCCUUUUAUUUAUUUCAAAAUCCUGAUUUUUGACUUUUUUGCAAAAAUCAUAUCUCCUGUUUCUGAGAUCCAAAAAUUGUAAAACAAAUUUUGUGGUAUUCCUUGAGAUGGCUAGUUUUUAAUAAAAAUAUAAAAUGAACCAUGUUUUCUGGGAAAUUAUUUAUUAAGGAUUUAAUCUUGUUAUUCAUGGAUAAAUGCAUAUCUCUUGUUAUACUGCUUCGUUUGCUCUGAAAAUUUUAUGGUUGCCUCUGUAUGGUAUUAGAAUGCUUUGAUAAAUAUUUCAAGAUUUUUGGAAUACUGCAGCUUUGAUAUGUAAUUUAUGAUUGAAAUGUGGCUUGUUUCUUGAUUAAAUCAUAUAAAAUAAUUGGUACUUAUGCUGGUGCUCUACUUUGGUAGUAAACUUGUUUAUGGCAUUCCUAAUGUGUAAAUAAUCUGAAAUCUGUUGUUUGGCAUAAUAUAAGUCAUGUUUCUGAAUUUAUGAAAUAAACACCUAGGCAAAUGUUAAAUACAUAUCUUUAAUUUGGUAUGUGCAAUUGCUCUGAAAUUUUCAUGGUGAUACUUUGAUGAUGUCCGUGUGCUGCUGUAAUUUUUAUAGAUAUUUCUGAGCAAUUUGACUAGUAUCUUGUAAUUAUGCUCUUAUUUAGAAUUAAUUAAUAAAUGCCUUGCUAAGUAUAUGUUUGAGGGUUGUCAUCUGAUGUUCUGGUAAUCUUGUAAUAUGCUUGUGCUCAUAAGCUAUGUGAUUGGCAUUGUUUGUGUUUUGGUCAUGUCAUUAAAUAAUUAACUAUAGGGUUAAAUGCUGUUCUGGACAGCAAGGAAGCAAUUUAACUGUUGCUUAAUGAUAACUUGACUUUCUGUGAAACUUGUCUAAAUCAAAGUUAUUCUAAACUUAUUGAACUAGCUGUGGUUUAAAUUUGAGGUCAUUUGGCCAAGUAGUUUAAAAGUUAUAGCUGUUCCAAGUUGGGUUCCAGAAAUAGGUGUUCUCUGUUUUUCUGGUACAGAACCUGGAACCUUGUUUAAAUGACUGGUUUAAUUUAUGAAUCAUGCUGUGGUGUUUAAAGAUGAUUCGUAGACAAUUUCAUAAGCUUUCCAGAAUGUCUUUAUUUGUGAUUGUUGGAUUUGUCUAUCAUUAGUUAUGAUUUAUUUACUGAGUGUACUUGUUUUAUAUUGCUUGCUGUUUUAGUAUCAUGAUAGGUUUUGGGUUACGCUAACUUGUUUACUUGUGUGAGCUUGUAUAACUUUUGCUCCGUAAAUAAGUAUCCAAUGAGUUGCUUGUGUUAUUAAGCAUUCAUCGUUAGCAUGUGCAUCUUCUUAUUGUUCGAGCAUGCAAUAGGUGCAUCGGACGCGACAGCCUCUUUCGAGCUGCAAGUGAAUCCCGAAGGUCAGGAGGGCAGCCAAGAGGUGGAGGUCCAGCAAGCCGUACUCGAGGAGCCUGAAGAAGAAGUUGAGUGCCCGAAUCACGAGCCGGCAUCGUUCGUGAAAGGCAAGCCCCGGAGCAUUCUAAGUCUCCCUUUACUUUCAAAAGUUUACUUACUAUGUUAUAUCUAUUGAUGCAUUAAGUUUAGGAGUUGUGGUGAAAACCUUUGCUGCACUUUAUUCCAUCCUUGUCCAGAUAAUUCAUCCUACCCUGGUUGUAGAGUUAGGAUUGAGUAGCAGCUUAGCCAUGCUUAAAUCGGUAGAAGUCGGGUGAUAUCCUGUCACCUGCGCGAUAUAGGGUUAUGUCGGAUCACGAUGGUCUAUAUGUGCUAUCGUGAAUGGAACCUGUUUUAAUUGACUUAAGCCGGGCGGAGUUUUGCAAGUUGGUAGUAACUCCGUUUGUGGCAGCUAAGGACCGAUCGUUGUACGUCCUCUUGUCAUGUUGAACGCAUGCCUGACACUUAGUUGGCCGGAUAACUCGUUCCGACCGCGAAGCCGAGUAGUAUGACUCAGGCCGGAAGACCGGCAAGUAUAAAGUGCGCACUACCAGAGGAAGUGCGGUGUGCGGGGGACCAUUGGCGUAAGCCCAAAGGCAGGUGAGUUAAAAUUCCUGACCUCCCUGGCAGAGUGGUAGCCCUGGGAGUGCGGCGCUGAUCGGAGCCGCGAUUCCUGAGUUGUACCAAAGGUGACCCGUUGGCUCUCCGGUAGGGGAUGCUUGGGUGAGUGCUAGGAAUAACCCUCCAGCUGGAUAGGAAUCCGAUUCGAAUCGCCGUCUCUCCCGGUUAGUGAGAACUUGACAGAGCAGCGGCAAACGUAGCAUUCACUAAUGAACUUGGUUCAUGAUAAGGAUGAUAGCAAGAAGAACACAUGAUGAAUUUGAUAUGGUUAUUAUUGUUUGUAAUAAUCAAGUGAUGUGUUGUAGUACAGGUGCUAAUAUAGUGGUAGGCUGAUGAUAAAUAAAAAUGAUGCUCUCAAAAUAAUUUAGUUGUAAGUUAAGCUUUUGGCAAAAAGGUGAGUCAACCAGCUCCACUUGAUAUUUAGCCUUGCAUGAUCCUUGGUGUCUUUUAUGUUUUACUAGACGGGUAAGUCUAGCUGAGUACAUUCUCGUACUCAGGGUUUAUUCCCACCUGUUGCAGAUGACAUCUUCUAUGACGGAUUCUGCAAGACCUGUCUCCAUCCCGCUGGGGAUGAGGACUAACCGUUGGGCACGGUUCUCUAACAAUUUCGUACCUGUUGCUUUUGGAAGGAUGACAUAGACUCUGGCAGUAACUCAAACUUAUGAACCGAACUUCGAAAUGUGUGUGUAACUAUUUUGCUUCCGCUACUUUGGACAAGUGUUGUAACAACUUAAUACUCCGAUGUGGUGCCGCUUCGACGGCAAUGAAUGACUAUGUAACAUUCGUUGUGUUUAUGUUGAACUAUUACGAUCUUGGUUUGUUGCGAGUUGGUUUGAAGUCCUUCGUGAUUUCAAUUGACUACCGGGAUUAUAUGGGCUCAAGUUUGGAAACUUGAUUGCUUGGCGAUCGUUUCUACACUUGAACUCUUAUAAUUUGGUCGGUUCUGUGACAUAUACCGGUCUUUGGACCGGUAGGGCGUGCCCUUCUUCCUUUCUUUCGACCAUGAUAGCUGCGCUGGCCACCUGAUCGGUAGCUGCGACGUAAAGAAGCAAUGGUUCCCCCUCGGCGAGGGGUACCAAGAUGGGAGGGUUAGUGAGUAAAGCCUUGAGCUUGUCAAGGGCUUCCUGGGCCUCGAGGGUCCACGAAAAAUGCUCGGAUUUUCUAAGUAACCUAUACAGAGGUAGUCCUUUUUCCCCGAGACGGGAGAUGAAAUGACUGAGAGAUGCUAGACAUCCCAUGACCCUCUGCACUCCCUUUAGGUUACGAAUUGAGCCCAUAUUUGCGAUGGCCGAGACCUUUUCGGGGUUGGCCUCGAUCCCUCGCUCAGACACUAUGAACCCGAGGAGCAUGCCUCGGGGGACCCCAAAAAUGCAUUUUUCGGGGUUCAGUCUGAUCCCUUUAGCCCUAAGGCAUCGGAAUGUCUCAUCUAGGUCGGCCACGAGGCCGCUCGCCUUCCUAGACUUGACUACAAUGUCGUCUACAUAAGCCUCUACAGUUCUGCCUAUGAGGUCUCUGAAGACCUAGAGCAUACAUCGCUGAUAUGUAGCCCCCGCGUUCUUAAGGCCGAAAGGCAUGGUUACGUAGCAAAACAUUCCAAAAGGAGUGAUGAAAGAAGUCGCGAGCUGGUCGGACUCUUUCAUCUUGAUUUGGUGGUAUCCGGAAUAAGCAUCAAGGAAAGAUAAAAUUUCACACCCCACGGUAGAGUCAACUAUCUAGUCGAUACGAGGUAAUGGAAAAGGAUUCUUAGGACAUGCUUUAUUUAAACUAGUAUAGUCUACACACAUCCUCCACUUCCCAUUUUUCUUUUUGACUAGUACAGGGUUGGCUAUCCAUUUGGGAUGGAAUACCUCCUUGACGAAUCCGGCCGCCAGCAGCUUGUGGAUCUCCUCCCUGAUGGCCCGACACUUCUCCUCAUUGAAUCGGCGUAGGCGUUGUUUCACGGGUUUGGAGCCGGCUCGGAUGUCCAAGGAGUGCUCGGUGACUUCCCUCGGUAUGCCCGGCAUGUCCGAGGGGCUCCACGCAAAUACGUAGGCGUUUGCACGGAGAAAGUCGACGAGCAUUGCUUCCUAUUUGGGGUCGAGGCUCGAGCUGAUCCUCAACGCCAUGCCCUCAGAUGCCUCGGGGACGAGGAAGAUGAGCUUGGUCUCCUCCGCCGGCUCAAAGCUCCCGGCAUGAUGCUUGGACUCUGGGAUGUCCUGGUCGCCAUCACCGAGGCUGGUGAUGAUGGACAGGGACUCAGCCAGAGCCUUGGCCUACUCAAUGCACUCGACGCCGCAUUGGUAGGCGUGCUGGCUUGUUGUGCUGACAGUGAUGAUGCCGUUCAGACCCGGCAUCUUGAGCUUGAGGUAGGUGCAGUUGGGGACGGCCACGAACUUGGCGUAGCAUGGUCGUCCCAGGAUUACGUGGUAGGUCCCUAGGAACACGACCACGUCGAAGGUGAGGACCUCCCAUCUGAAGUUGUCGGGGUCCCAAAGCAGACAGGCAGGUCGAUCUGCCUGAGGGGAUGGGCGCGAUGUCCCGGCACCACUCUGUGGAAUAGUGAUACAUCAUUCCUUAGCCGAGACUUGCUGAUCCCCAUGAGGGCCAAAGUCUCGGCAUGAAGAAUGUUGAGGCCGCUGCCUCCAUCCAUCAAUACCUUGGAGAGAUGAGUCUCGGUGAUGAUGGGAUCGACGAUCAGUGGAUAGCUCCCAGGGUUGGGGAUCCAAUCCGGGUGAUCUUGCCGAUCGAACGUGAUUGCGCUCUUAGACCAUUUGAGGUACGAGGGCGUGGCUGUGCUGACUGCACAAACUUCUCGGAGCUCGUGCUUCCUUUGACUCGUGGUGAGACGAGCCGCACGUCCCCCAAAGAUCAAGAGCCAGUUCUUGACCUUGGGGAAGCCUUCUCCCUAGGCGUCGUCGUCCUUGGGGUGCUCUUCAGCGCCCUCCUUGGCUAUGAUGUCAGUGUAGUACCGACGCAGGACAGUGCACUCCUCGAGGGUGUGCUUGGUUGGUCCCCUGUGAUAGGGGCAUGGCUUCUUCAACAUCUCGUCGAAGAGGCCUGGGCCAGCAGGGGCCCGCUUGGGGUUCUUGCGUUCCGCCGCGGCGACCAGGUUGUCGUCCGACCGACCCUGCUUCCCUUUGCGACUCUUCUUCUUCUUCUUGGGGUCGCGAGAGCCUGAGGCCUCGGUGGUCUCGGCUUUCUGUUUCCCCUUGGCAGUGCCAUCGGAAAAAAUUGCACCAACUGCCUCCUCGCCCGAGGCAAAGUUGGUGGCGAUGUUGAGCAACUGGCUUGUGCUCAUGGGGGUCUUGCGACCGAGCUCGUGUACCAGCUCCUUGCAGGUGGUGCUGGCGAUGAAGGCCCCGAUGACAUCGGAGUCCAUGAUGUUGGGGAGCUCGGUGCACUGCUUGGAGAAUCGCCUGAUGAAAUCUUGGAGAGACUCAUCAGGCUUCUGCCGAUAGCUCCUAAGGUCCCAGGAAUUUCCAAGACGCACGUAUGUGCCCUGGAAGUUCCAGACGAAGAUCCUGACUAGGUUGGCCCAGCCAUAGAUCAUGCACUCAGGAAGAUGCUCGAGCCACGCUCUGGCCGAAUCGGCCAAGUGGAGUGGCAAGUUGCGGAUGAUGAGCAGGUCAUCGUUCGCUCCACCUAGCUAGCACGCUAGGCGGUAGUCCGCCAGCCAGAGCUCAGGGUUGGUUUCCCCUGAGUACUUAGUGAGGUUAGCAUGAUGUCGGAACCGGGCCGGGAACUUGGCCCUGCGGAUGGCCUCGCUGAAGACGCGGGGACCCGGAGGCUCCGGUGACGUGCUGCGAUCAUGGUCGGGGUCGUACCUCCCGCCUCGGUACGAUCGGUAGCGCCAAGACUCGGCUUCGUCCCUGUUACACCGUCUGGCCUAAAGGGUGGCCCAGGUGUCCACGUUGGUCUCGACGCAUUCGUGGACAGACAAGGCCUUAUUGCCCCCUUGCGGGUUAGGGGGCGGCGGUCCCUACACCGUUGGUGCCUUGUUAGGAGGGGGCUGAUCCCUUGGGGUGUCUCGUACCGUGGGACUAGGACGCAGAACUUUCUGUGUUCUGUACCACAACCUGCUCUAGGAGGCCUCGUAGCCCCUGGCGCACCCUUCUCUCCACAGGGGUCGAUGGCUCGGGCAUCGCUCUGAGGAGGAGUGCGGCAGCCAUCACGUUCUGGCUGGCUAUGCUGAAGACUGGGGGGUUGUCUCCCCCUUCGUCCUUGAUGAUGCGGCGGUUGAUGUUCUGGGCAUGGCGUCUAGCCUCGCCUUCGUCCCCGCGGACCGACUGGUCUUGUACCAGGGUCUCGCGCAGUUGGCGGAGGCGUACGCGCUCUUCUUCGAGCCUGGUCUCUAGCUUGUUGCGCUGCUCGAGAUCAGGGCGUCGACCUUCUGCGGGGGCUGAUGCGGCCCCGCGUGCUCCAGGGUGGUUCUCGGGAGUCGUGUUGGGUGGCGGAGUCGCGUUCCUCCGCUCAGAGGGCCCUGCGCCCCCUUGAGCAUUAGGGGACACCCCUCCAACCUCGAGGUUGAAACACUCUUGCGACGGAUCGUAGCCGCCACUGUUAGAGUCGGAGUAGCCGAGGCAGUAGUUACUAGCCUCAAAAAGCACAUGAAAGUUUCUAGGUCACCACAACUAGAAAAAUCAGUGUCGGCACAUUCGUCUUCCCCUGAGGUGGGAUCCUCAGGGUACAAUGAAACGGGUGGUGUAGCAAUAAGGUCUAGAGUAGACCUUAGGUGAUGCUCUGGCAGGUCCGCGUACACACUCAAGGAGGUGCUCGCGGAAGAGGUAUAGGUUGCGGUUGUGCUCCUGAACCGAAAAGGGAACUCAGAAGACGCAGCUGUCUUUCCUCCAUCCGUGGGUGGAGGGUGACAAGGAGUCAAGGCCCCCUGGUCCUUCUUCUGAGGAGGAGGUGGGAGCCGUGCUUUGUCCUUUGACCAGGGUGGAAUAGGAGGUCACGAAGUCCCCCUUUUGGUCCGUGGAGUGGAGCUCGACGCUCCACGGGCCCUUCCUCUAACGCCUGGCGAGCCAGAGGAACGGGCGAUGUGGUGAGGGAUGUGCGGGGGGAGGGCCAGACGGGCCCUUGUCUCGGAGGUAGGGUCAGAGAUUCUUGACCUCUGACGCCCACGUCAGGCUCCCCCUGCAUGAUGCCCCAAGUGCCUCCCACGCACUGGCUGUGGUGGGAUCGGCUCGAGGCGAGGUGAGGCGUCGUCACGCGGUGGGAGGAGGACCAUGUCAUAGCCGGAGCCGAGCGACAUGAACUCCAGACUCUCAAACAUCAUGAUGGUGCCGAGGCGGAGUGGGCGGAAUCCGUCUACCAUCCGAGCUGCCCCCAAUAGGGAAAGGAAAGUGCAACACAGAAGGCCCCUACCUGGCGCGCCAACUGUCGGCGUCUAGACUCAUGGUCUAGACACUAACGAGUAUAAGUCUGCGUGUCUUCCUAAACCCGGAUGGUGAUGCAAGUGGAACAUAGAGGGUUUAUACUGGUUCGGGCUAAGGGUGCCCUACGUCCAGUGUGAGAUUGGGAGUCUGUAUUGCCUUGCACCCAAAGGUGCUUGUAGUAAGGGUGUACAAGCAGGUUGCGAGAGAGGGCUAAGUCCCAGGUCUUGACUUUAUGUGGUGGACAGAGCACUACUUGCUACUCUGAAUGUGUGUGGUCUUGUUUGGAGUUCUAGUGUUGUGAGCGCGUGUUAGGAUGUGUGCCCUGGCUCCCCUUUUAUAGUCAUAAGGGGACACAGGGUUUUUACAUGUGUCGACCGACGAUCUCCUUCUGGUGAAUGGUGAAGCCACAGUCCCGACCCUGUAGAAGCUUGCCCAUCCCAUCCUUGGAGUAUGGCUGGCAGCAUGGUUACUCCUAUGGAGGGUUGCUGAGCCCUAUUGAGGUCAUGGGGGUCGGAUCGCUGAUACUGCUGCAUGUCCUGUAAUAGUAGGAGAAGACAGCCAACAGUGGCACUGGUUAAUCUCUUCCAUACCUCUUUUACUGUGAGGUGGUAUUUCAUAGUAAAAGAGGUAAGGCUGCAUAGUGAAAGAGGUAAGGCUACAGUGGCCAGGGUGGAUGGAACAGUUGUUGCCAUGCCCUGCCGCAGUAUAAGGAUCACAGCGCGUGUCAUGACGAGGGUACGACCACCGUGCGUUGGAAGCCCGGCUCCGAGAUGGGGGCUCGGGAGAGGCGGUGUUUGCGCCCGAGCCCAAGAGGGGUCGGGCGAGGCGGUACUUACGCCUGAGGCCAAGGGGUCGGUCGAGCCAGAGCUUGCGCUUGAGGCCAAGGGGUCGGGCGAGGCGAAACCCGCGCCCGAGCCCUAGUGAUCUUGGGUGAUUUGCCUUAUUCCCCUUUUUUGUAUUUUUUUAUUCCUUUAAUCUGGGUAUCCCUUUUUAUGGUACCCAACACUAUCGGCUUUAGCGAUAUCAAAAGCAAAUUUCUCUGGUUCUUUCUGGCCAAAAGAACAAGACAUCGGCUUUUUGUUUUUCACCCACUUUGCCAAGCUGAUGACUGGUUCCUCAUCCGAAUCAGAACUCCUUGCCUCAUCAACAAACGAUACUUUCUUAUUCCAUGCUCUCCUAGGUUCAAAAGUCUUGAUAUCUUGGUCAGAAAUCCUCUGCACCAAAUGACUCAGACUCUCAAACUCUUGAGAAGCAUAUUUAUCUUUGAUGUGUGGCAACAAUCCUUGGAAAGCCAAAUCAGCUAACUAUCGAUCAUCUAGAACCAAACUGUAGCAUUUGUUCUUGACAUCCCGCAACCUCUGCACAAAGCUUUCAACCGAUUCAUCAUUGCGUUGCCUCAGCCUUACUAAAUCAGUAAUUUUCUUCUCAUGAACCCCAGAGAAGAAAUACUUGUGGAACUGCUUCUCUAGAUCCGCCCAAGUAAUUACUGAGUUUGGAGGUAGAGAAAUAAACCAAGUAAAUGCCGAUCCCGACAAAGAUGAUGAAAAUAAAUGAACUCUUAAUUCAUCUCUAUUAGCAGCCUCUCCACACUGGAUGAUGAACCUAUUGACGUGUUCCAUAGUUGACGUGUCCUCUUGUCUAGAGAAUUUAGUGAAAUCUAGCACCUUGUACCGAUUUGGAAGUGGAAUCAAGUCAUAUGCAGGAGGGUAUGGUGUCCGAUAAGAAUAAGUAUUGACCUUGGGUUUUAUCCAGAACUGAUCUCUCAUUACUUCAGCUAUCUUAUCGACCCAAUAGGCAUUGACAUCUUGUCGAUGUGCAGGUUGAGGUUCUGGCACCUGCUGAUAAGCUUCCACGUGUCUCUGAGGGGCACAAUCUCCAGGGAACAUAGCAUUGGCCAUAGCCUGUUGGCCACCAAUCUGCUAAGGAAGAUUCAUCGGCUGAUUGGCUGGUCCUUGAUUCUAAAAACCAACCUGCAUCUGUCCCUGCUGGAAUCCUGUAGCCUGAUGAUUCUGUUGUGUCAUUUGUGGAAAGACAAACUGCCCUGUCCACCCAUUGUUGGCAUUCAUCAGCGCAGGCCCUGCCGAUGGCUGAUAAUUGGGAGUCAUCAUUAGAUUGACAUAUCCUGUCUGAGUCAUAAACCUCUGGUGCGUCGGUAGUGGAUCCACUGAUGCAUUAGGUAUUUGGAAUGUUGGCAUCUGAAAGUUCCCUGUAAUAGGCCUUGCAGUAGUAGUAGUUGAGUACUAAGGGUUUUGAGUCAUCGGCAAAACUAGAGGUGCCGAUGUCAUAGGAGCUUUUCCUGCCAAGUCAGCCACUUGAGAUGUUCUAGAACUAUUUGCAAAAAAGCCUACAAUUUUGAAAUACAGAUCCUGACAUUGCCGAUGCCGAUAGAUCUGUGUUGAGUUGAACCCAUCCUUCUGAGGUUGUUGGAUUGGUCCUCAUUGGUGUAGAUUGCCCAUUAGUCAUCCCUAAUGUGCUUGGAGGAGAAGUAACUUCUGUACCGCAACGGUCGGAGGAGCCGAUGGAGCUGUAACUGAUGACAACCCGGGCUGGUGAUAGGCUGGGCCAACAUAUAACGGUGGUGCUUGUCCUUCUUUGAAAGUUCUAGCCAUAGCAUUGAAAACAGUAUUGGACAGCACACUAGAUUGAUUGAUCAAAGCACGAUUAAUAGCAUUGUCAACCAUAUCUUGCAAUUUACCAGGGUUGUCUUCAAAAGUGAUCUGCCGAGGCAUCGGCAGUUCUUGCUUCUGGAUCUCUUCACCGCUCCUGUUGACACUGAAGGAUUUCAAGCAGAGCUGCUUGUAUUCCUCCAUAGCUUUUGCCAUAGCUUGCUUCUGCUCAUCCCUGAGAUCAGCCUCCGUCACAGCAAUGAUGUUUUCUUUGUCAAACUCAGUAUGAGCCAUGUUGAUCUUGUCGAUAGAUCUGUCCCACCGAGUGUGCCAAAAGAUGUGUUGAUGCAAAAGUGGAUCUGCAAACACAACGGGCUAAUACCCGAUUUCAACGUUAAGGCGUGCUAGCCGAUUUGACCUUAUAAUCGACAAAGGUGAUAACUCGAAUACUUUGGUCCCGACAACAGUGAUGCGCCCGGAUGCCACGGCCAAGAGAUAUUCGCGUUGAACUCGAGAACUCAUCGAGUAUUCACGCGGAUUCCCACGUCUUCCUUCACCAUCAUCGGCAUAUCAUCCUCCAUCGGCAUCGACAAUCAUCAACACCAGCCAUCGGCAAUGAUCAACCACUUUUCCUAGACUUAACUAUACCUCCCUCCUGCUGCUUCAUCAUCGGUAUCAUAGGCCAUCGGCAACUCCCUUGUCGACCAGUCAUUACUUUUCCAUCUGCCGAUCUAAGCUUCAUUAUCCUUCCUGCUACGUUGUUGACGGUCCUUAAGUAUCAAAUUUAAUUAUCAAAUAAACAAAGAAAAGGAUCUAAAUGACAUCAACAUCUAGACUUAGGGUUUUAUCUGACAGAAUUCCAUGAGUUUUGGUGUUUGUCUAUUUCUGCAGGGGGUUAUCAGGAAAUACGGAAGAAAGGCCCACACGUCGGGAUUACAUAGAGAUAUCAACGUGCCGCGCAAUUAUUUUACAUCUAGAAGACUCCAGAAGCCACAGGAAGGAAGCAGAGGCCGAACGGAGCCAGGACCUGGGCGCCUGCCCAAGUCCUUAGGGCACCCGCCCUGCUACAGUGGCCAAUCACGUUCAACCUCGCGGAUUAUGCUCCACCGACCUAAAGGAUCAAGAAUAACCGUUCAAUCAAUGUCGGUUUGAUCCGACGGCCCAGGUUCACUUGAGGGGACUAUAUAACCAGACCCCCUGGCCCCUGGAGGAGGCACCCCUUGAUCAUUAUUCAUUAUUCAUAGACAGAGCAAAAGCUAGGGUUUAGAGAUGAGAGCUCUCCUCUCUUCUCUAAACUAGAGUAGAUCUAGAUAGUAGCAAGAUGGAGAGCGAAGGAGGAUUAGAGGAGAGGCCGGCCUGUCGGUUCUUCCUCCGGUUGUACUUCGUCAUGAUCAAGUUCUAAUCAAGCUUGCUUAUGGGAUGACUCUGGUAAUCUACUUCUAAUUCAUUAUGCAAUUACUAAUCAUGUAUGUUCUGGUUCACAACUCUUUUGAGUACUUCUAAUCUAUAGGACGCUAUAGGUUAGAGUUGUAGUAUAGGUGUAAGCGAGGUGCUUAGAUCUAGAUUACUUGUGGAUAUCCCCUGUCUAGCUGGAUCGUGUGGUAGGCCGCGUAGGUGACAGUUACGUUGGUCCUCUGUAGUCCACCUCUCGUUAGCAGGACGGGUAGGGUUUAUCGGCCUAUGGAUAAGCAUCCUUUGUGGUGUAAUCUUAUCACAUAGUUUGUCCCAGACAUAGACAUACCCCUUUGAAGUAGAGAAACCAUAGUUAUACUCUCUAUUCUGCUACCAUCGCCCAUAUACUAGAUUGCUCUACUCUCUAUUCCCAUAUUUUCACUCAUUGUUAUCUUUAAUAUUAUUCUUAUUCGAUUCUACCAUCUUUCCUAUUUACACCUAUUUACUUAUCUUGGUUAAGUUAGAGCGUAGAUCAGUUCUCCCGUUUCCCUGUGGAUACGAUAAAACCUUUAACCGGGUAAAAGCUUCAACGGUAUCCGUGCGCUUGCGGAUUAUCUGUGUGCGUAUAAAUACCAUAGUACACUCUAGUGCCAUGCUGGGGAUGACAACCUAGUAUUCAAGUGGUGUUAGCAAGUGUCAACAAGCAUUUUUGGCGCCGUUGCCGGGGAAACGGUUGCUGAGUUGACUACGAACUAGCUUAAUCAUUUUCUAAAAAAAAUAAAAAAAAUACUUUCCUUUUAUCCUUUGCCUCAUCUCUGCUAAUCUUUCUUCUUAUCUAAUCCUUGAUCUCUGGUCUAUCAUGAAUUCAAACAUGUCUAUCUAUGAAUUUCAUAGACCUACGGGCACACAUCUCGAACCACCAAAAUCUUCAAAGCCUAUCAUAGCAUCUAGUUUUGAGAUAGACCCCGAAUAUAUAGAAUUUGUUCAAAAACAACCUUUCUCAGGAGAAGGUGAGGAAAACCCAUAUACACACCUAAGAGAGUUUUAUCGAGUCUGUGACCUCCUUCGCAUAGAAGGAAUGUCCGAUGAGACCCUCAAAUGGAAGCUCUUUCCGUUCUCUUUAAGGGGAAAAGCUAGACAUUGGUACAAACUCAAAGUAGGGAGUGUUCAUGGAGAUUGGAAGGAGUUACAUAAUAGUUUUCUUUUAAAAUAUUUUCCAAUCUCCAAAGUGGCGGAACUUCGGCGUGAGAUUAUUUCUUUUAGACAACUGGAAGAAGAAUCUCUUAGGAAAUCAUGGGACCGCUUUAUUAACCUUACUCUCACUGGCCCAAAGCUUUCUAUUCCAGAAGAAGUUCUUCUAAUUCACUUUUUUGAGGGCCUUAGUAGGGAAAAUAAGCAAACCUUGAAUACAGCCUCUAGAGGAUCCUUCUAUCACCUACCUGCUAGUGAAGCUUGGAAUUUGAUUCAUUUAUUAAGUGGAAAGUCUCCUAGCUUUUAUAUCCCUGAGAAAGAGAUAGAACCAGUUCCUAGACAAGAAGAAGAAGUUUCGAUAGCCAGAUCACAACCACUUCAAUUCCAAACUUUAGAUAUCGAUCCUAAACCAUCAAUACCCCAAAAUUCUCCAAGGGAGGAAGGAAUUCCGACCUUAAAUCUUUCAGAUGCUGAUGGUUUAGACUUCUGGUUCCAUAAGAGACCUUCAAGCAGGGAUAAUUCAAAUCCUCGCAAUAAUGGUUCUCUUAGAGAAUGUCCUGGUUCCUGUUAUGAAGAAGUCGAGGAUGACACAUCAAGUAAAGGAGAGCUAAGCCAUAUUGAAAAUUCUAACACCUCCCCUUUCCUGAUCACAAGUUCUAAAUGGCUAGAAUGUGUAGAAUGGAUGGAUAAGGAAGAAGCCUUAAUGAAUUUUGACUUUGGUUCAAUUUCAAAUGGUGAGUUCUUGACUCCCUUUGAAGAUGAGAUUCAUCCAACUACAGAAGAGGACAUAAGUGAGACCAAUCCAAGAGAAACUCUAAACAUUGAGAUUGGAGACGAAGAUAACAUUAAUGAGCAUGGAAUUUAUUUCAUAGCCACUUUGUUUACUCCAUGCUCAUAUGCAACAUCUUCCCAAUCUAUUGGUCUCUCCAACAUCACCACAUUUGAGAUCUCCAACCCCCUCUUCCUUUCUAUUUAUAAAAACUUUAAAAGGGCGGUUGUCGAUGCAUAUGUCUAUAAUAAAUAUUGCAGAUCUCGUUGAGUUGAUCUUGAUAUAGGUCAGCGUUGGAAGGGAAACCACUUCGCCGACAUAAAUUGAUGGUUUCCCAAGGACAAGCUUAGUGUCCUAAAAUAAGCACUGAUCAGAUCAUAACAUGAACAUUUAAUUAUUUACAACAUUGCCUUGUGUAUUGAGCAUAUAAAGAUAAUUGUAAAAAUAUUCCUUCGGGUAUUCUUGUCACUAACCUUUCCAGGAUUGGAGCAAGAAGAUCGGAUAAAUGACAAGCACAAGGUAUGUCCAACCAAUCAUCAUGCAACACUGAAUUAAAUUCAUCCAAACUUGAAUUCUGCAAAAUUCAAGCUUGGGGGAGUACUUUACAUAAAAACAUCAUUUGCGAUGUUGCUAUGAUGGUUGUCCCUACCUUUGAGACAUGCUCAAUUUGUUAAAUACCAAUCACACUACUCUAUCUCCACUUGAGUAGAUCUCUAUAAAUGCUGUCUUGUUACCUUUCUCUAUUUACUAGUAAGUGUUAGUUUGGAAGUACUACACAUACUUCUAUUGGCUUUUAAAUUAAGCAUGGUGCUUAGGUUAAACAGCCUUCCUUAAUCUGAUUAGACAUGGAGUCUAGUUCGGUUAUUGAACUAAAAACUGCUUGUGUAGACAUUGGUAUAUUUUUGUCGGACUAACCCCUGCAGAAAAAACUUUCAAUAUCGAUUUGGGAAGUCCUGAGAUAAACUCACAUCAGAGACAAAGAGAGUGAGACAUGAAGUUUAACAAUUUGCACAAGAAGGACAUAGCUCAUUCAUCAUAGAGAGAUGAUCUAUGGAGGGUGCCACAAACACGAUGCACAACCGCUAAGAAAGGAAAGCUUCCACAAGGUGAUACUGUACCAUCACUCUUCAAGCAAUGUAACACCUUAAGGUACUUGACUAUCACUUUUAUAAACUUCUCCUUGGUUCUGGCGUUCAUAUAAAUAAAAGAGACAAACAUGUAUGAUUUAGAACUCUAGAUUAACCAACCCAACUGAUUCAACAUGUUUAGUCCUUUAAACCUUGUUCUUAGUACUACCUCCAUGAUCCCACACUCCUAAUGAUAUGAGCUAAAAUGUUACACAUUCAAUCAUUGAGAGAUAUAAAGAAAAAGACAUAUACAUAGAUAGAUUAUCUUUCCAUAAGGUUGAGCGAUCUGAUCUGACAAAUGUUAUAAGUGCUACACUUAUGAACUUUUCAUCCAUCAACUUUGUCUUGCUCACUAUGCUUAGGGUUAGAGAAGAACAAAUACACUUUAGGUUCUGUUGGUGUUUUCCACCAACAGGACCCAUGCACUUGAUCUCUGCCUUGUCUCUAUGAGCAGGUACACUUUGAGCAAAACACGGAGGAGUUUUAUAACUCUCAUACUCUACCAAGUGAAGGACCUGGAUCUACGAGCACAAACACACUGAGCAGGUUACUGCCAACGCCGCACUUCGAACUGCUGGGCAAACGAAGAACAUGGGUGACACCGUAUCAAGAGGUGCAGACGUCAAGGUCCGCACCUGAAUCAAAUGACGCACCUGAAGAAUGAACACGGUGAGAAGUCUUGUUAAGAAGACUUAAAACAUUGAACCAUCGCCGAAAGGUAAGAUCGGUAGUUAUACAUAUUUAUCCUUUCUGUAUUCCCUUUUCCCUUUAAUUAUUUACUUUCAUUAAAUAGAUUAUUAGUUAAUCAUGCUAUCUUGAAAAGAAAAUAAAAAUGUUAAAAAACACUAAGCCCCAUGUGAGUAUACGAGUGGCAUAAAACCCAUAAGUACCUUCACUGUGGUGGCAUAAUAAUAAAAUAAAUAUUUCUUUUCUGCUUUAUAAAAUAAAAAUAUAAAAACAGGGAGUAAUAUUUGAGGAAGCUCAACAUGAUGAAGGCUAGAUAUUUAUGCUAACACUUAAUUAGUUCCACAAGCUUUGUUGUCUAUUUGAGCUCCACAAAAUUUAAGAAUCAAGAAGACUAGCAGACGGAGGACAUUCUAAUCGCUGUCAGAAUGCUGCUGACUUUCAAAUACACGUCUGCCACCUGUUAGCUACAUUAAGAGAAAUUACGUCAAAUUCAGCUUGGGGGAGAGCACCCCCAUUUAUCUUGCUAAGUAUUUCUACCUAUCUUUAUACUUAUAUUAUAUAAGAAAAUUAAAAUACAUAACCUAUGAAAAACUAAAUAAAGAUUUUGUGCUUAUAUAUAUAUCUUUUGCUUAGUGUGUUUAAUAAAUAAAUAAAGUGGCUAUGCUAAUCUGAAUCUUAAUAAUAAAAUUCUAGCAUGGAUCUGAUGAAUAGUUGCUCUGCCUAAUUUGCAAAUUUGAAGUUCUCUCUCAAGUUUAGACAUAACUGUUAUAAUUUAAAGCUUGCUCUAGAUCUAAACUUGUGGGAUGAAAACUUGAUCUGAAAUCUAAGUUGUUAACGGAUAUGAUAUGGGAAGGUUGAGCUGCUGUUUAUCUGUUCUUAGAGAUGCUAGAAUUCUGGAGAAUUUUAUCUUUGAAAAGUCUUUAAAAUAUUGCAUGAUGAGUUCCUGUAUGAUGAGAGUACAAAUUCCUACCACAGCCAUAUAUACAUGCUUAUUAGACUAUGAACCAUACAUUUACUUUUUACUGCUUAUGAGCAUUGAGUGUGGUCAAGUUGUGUAGACCCUUAGGAGCUUGUCAUGCGGUUAAAAUCAAGAUUUCACUUGCACAUUCACUCAUAUAUGCUACUUCUACUCCGGAAGUACCAUCCACAUAUAUCCACUCAUUUCCAUCUCCAGAACCACCCAAAAAUAUUCUACUCCUAAUCUGGGAGAGAAUAACCAAAAAUAUUUCUGUUUUUCCUUGUGAAAUAAAUGCUCAUGUUAUCUUGUUACUACCACUUGCUAUAUUAUCUCAUGAGAUGAGUGCUCUAAAAAAAGAGAGAAAAAAAUAUACGAGGAAAUAAAAAGGGGCAAGUGCCCGGAACCUCGAAAGAAAAGAAAAAGAGUGAGACGAGAGGUAAAAAUGGACAAGUGUCCGACAGUAGAAUUAGGGGUACAAGAUACCCACCUGAGAGAAAAGAAAAAGAAAAGAUAGAGCAUCUCAUUCUCCUCAUAAAGUUUCAAAAAGCAAGGAAGGUAUGUAUCCCCUCAAAAGAGCAAAAGUAGAAUUAGACUUUCACCAUUGUCAUCACCAUCAUCACCAUACACCAUUCAUUCGCCACACAUGCACAUCUUGAUUUGGCUUAUUAAUUUGUUUCUUUGGAUCCAUGGUUUGACUAUACAAUAAAUGUCUUGUAUGUAUACCUUAUCUCCCACCUAUGAGCUCCAUUUAUUAAAGCCUUAUUAGAGUAGGGUGAGAGAGAAGGCAAUGUCACUAUGCCUUAUAUACCACAUAUCUUGAGAGAAGGCAUAUACCAUCACUGCCUUGGUAAGGAUCCAGAAAUACCACAAAAGAGAGAUUUAGAGAGUCAUACAAGGAAGCUCUGAGUUUUAUUUGAAAAUCUGCAAAAACUCCAGAGCUAUAGCUGAUCAAGAAUAAGAGACAUGGCACUUGGCUAGACUAUUCUAUCUUUUAACUACUCAAGAUAGAAGUGACGGUUACAAGUCCCAUGGUGAAAGGUAAAGUAAGUAAGUUUUAGUUCUUGACAGUUUACUCUAACUCAGAGAUGAGAUCUUAUUUAAAAGCAUGUGUACCGUCAAAUUUUUAAAGAUAUUGCAACAACUUCUGAUCCCUUGCUGAGUCUAUCCUUGCUCAGGGACGAGCAAGAGGUAAGCUUGGGGGAGUUUGUUGACGGUCCUUAAGUAUCAAAUUUAAUUAUCAAAUAAACAAAGAAAAUGAUCUAAAUGAAAUCAACAUCUAGACUUAGGGUUUUAUCUGACAGAAUUCCACGAGUUUUGGUGUUUGUCUAUUUCUGCAGGGGGUUAUCAGGAAAUACGGAAGAAAGGCCCACACGUCGGGAUUACAUAGAGAUAUCAACGUGUCGCGCAAUUAUUUUACAUCUAGAAGACCCCAGAAGCCACAGGAAGGAAGCGGAGGCCGAACGGAGCCAGGACCUGGGCGCCCGCCCUGCUACAGUGGCCAAUCACGUUCAACCUCGCGGAUUAUGCUCCACCGACCUAAAGGAUCAAGAAUAACCGUUCAAUCAAUGUCGGUUUGAUCCGACGGCCCAGAUUCACUUGAGAGGACUAUAUAACCAGACCCCCUGGCCCCUGGAGGAGGCAGCCCUUGAUCAUUAUUCAUUAUUCAUAGACAGAGAAAAAGCUAGGGUUUAGAGAUGAGAGCUCUCCUCUCUUCUCUAAACUAGAGUAGAUCUAGAUAGUAGCAAGAUGGAGAGCGAAGGAGGAUUAGAGGAGAGGCCGGCCUGUCGGUUCUUCCUCCGGUUGUACUUCGUCAUGAUCAAGCUCUAAUCAAGCUUGCUUAUGGGAUGACUCUGGUAAUCUACUUCUAAUUCAUUAUGCAAUUACUAAUCAUGUAUGUUCUGGUUCACAACUCUUUUGAGUACUUCUAAUCUAUAGGACGCUAUAGGUUAGAGUUGUAGUAUAGGUGUAAGCGAGGUGCUUAGAUCUAGAUUACUUGUGGAUAUCCCCUGUCUAGCUGGAUCGUGUGGUAGGCCGCGUAGGUGACAGUUACGUUGGUCCUCUGUAGUCCACCUCUCGUUAGCAGGACGGGUAGGGUUUAUCGGCCUAUGGAUAAGCAUCCUUUGUGGUGUAAUCUUAUCACGUGGUUUGUCCCAGACAUAGACAUACCCCUUUGAAGUAGAGAAACCAUAGUUAUACUCUCUAUUCUGCUACCAUCGCCCAUAUACUAGAUUGCUCUACUCUCUAUUCCCAUAUUUUCACUCAUUGUUAUCUUUAAUAUUGUUCUUAUUCGAUUCUACCAUCUUUCCUAUUUACACCUAUUUACUUAUCUUGGUUAAGUUAGAGCGUAGAUCAGUUCUCCCGUUUCCCUGUGGAUACGAUAAAACCUUUAACCGGGUAAAAGCUUCAAUGGUAUCCGUGCGCUUGCGGAUUAUCUGUGUGCGUAUAAAUACCAUAGUACACUCUAGUGCCAUGCUGGGGAUGACAACCUAGUAUUCAAGUGGUGUUAGCAAGUGUCAACAUACGUGUCCAAAAACGGAGUCAACACCAGUAGUAGAGGGUGGCCUCUUCUUCUCGUGCGGUGUGGGAAGGGAGCAUCGGUGCCGCCGCUGCCCCAAACCUCUGCUCUGCCCAUCUGCCCUUGACGCACGAGCCUGGCUAGCCGCACACCUCAACCGCCCUUCUACCCUUGCCGCACGAGCCUGGUCAACCACAAAUCUUUUAAAGUACUACAAGAAAAUUGCCUAAAACACAACAUUGUACAUUCAAUCCUACACUACUUAGCGAUAAAAUGAAUAUACACUUGAUAUGGUUAAAGGGUUACAACAUUUUGUUGGUAAUCUAAAUUACUAAGAAUUCCAAUGGUUUUGUUGAUCUGAAUGUUUAUUUAUUUCAAGAUUUGACUUCAGUGUGCUAUUCUAAAUGUAUAUCUUUUUUCUAUCUAGUAGCAUCAAACAUGUGAAUAAAGACCUAAUUCACAGGUUUCCUUGUCACUAUAGCAACACAAUGCAUAACACAGGUGAGCUUUACUUUUUUAUCAUAGGUGAGCUUUACUUGAUCUAGCUGCAGUGGUUACCACAAGUUAGUAGUCUUGUGAGAAUUAUCUGCACUAUUUAAUGCUUAAUAACAACCUACACAUGACCUGCAUCUAGUAUGGAUGCAAAACAAGGAAAGUAUCAUGCUUCUUGGUACUGUUGUGAUCGUUAUACCUUACUGCAUCUACUCAACUCAAAGGUUAAUAAUAAGAUCUGCCAUGAAGACAUCGUAUUAAAGAAGAGCUGCACGUGUGGUGUUUGUCGUCAGUUGAGAGGAAUAUCUUCCCGUAGGCAUCAUAUUCAUAUCUUGUGCUAAAGUCGAGAGGAAUAUGUGCUAAUGCCAAUGCCUUACCUUCAUUGAUGGAUGGAUGCCUUGCCAAGCAUUCGAGAGCUUUUCACUCAGCAGGGAAUUUCAUCAAACACCUUAUAUGCAUAUGCCAAGUGACAAGAGGCAGUCACAAAUAAGAGAGGGAGCAGUGCACUGGCCGCGGUGCCACCGAGGGGCGUCUUCAGCGCAGGCCACGCCGUGCCACCAUGACAGGAGCCUUCACACCGCUUCCCUCCCAAUGGAUCCAUGACGGAUUGAGUGCUCCCUUGAUGGAUUCGCGAGCAUGUAGCCCUAGAUGCGCUGCCAUGGACGAUGGAGGGAGGUGGAGCCGCGACCGGUGGUGAUGAGGGUGUGCCUUUGUCGGUGAAGAGGAAGGAGCGUCGCCGCCUUGGCCUGUGCGGGAGCUGUCUUCAGCAUGGUUGAAGGGGGAGGAGCGUCGCCGUAGUCGAUGCCGGAGCCGACGAAGUAGACGAGGCACCGCUGCUAGUCCUAGAAAGGCUGCCAUAGCCGAUGGGAUAGGUCCCGAUCUGGGCGUGGGGAUGGAGAGAGAUACGAGAGAGAGGGGACUUUCAUUUGAACCCCGACAAGUUUGGUGGAUCCCACAUAAAGUGUGGCAGAGGAGGGGAAGAGGAGUGAGUUGGCGGUGGGUCUAGUUCGGUGCAACCAGCUAUCUACACUUUGGCUAGGGCUUCCGUAACUAUCAGAAGCCCUAAGAGCAUCUUUAGCAGGCUCCUAAACUCACUACCUAAACUAAAUUUAGGUAGUGAAGGCCAAAAUACUCACUCCAACAGGCUACCUACUUGACUACCUAACUUUGUUGGCCCAACAAAUCUUCCUUCCCACUACCUACAUCUAUUAGGCCAACAAACCUGGCUACCUAUUUUUUCCCCUUCCUCUCUCCUCCCGCACAUGACACCGCUGCCUGCGCGUCUCGCCCUGACAUUCGCCUGGUCGCGCACCUCCUCCCCAUCGGUCGUGCGCCUCCUCCCCACCGGCCAGCUCGAGUGCUUCGUCCCCGCCGCCACCGAGCGAGAUGUAGGAGAUGGACAUGCCACCGAGUGACCCGAGCGAUGGCAGAUGGACGUGCGCCGGCUCGGAGGCUGCAUCGUGGCAGCGCUGAGGGCGCUCACCGUGGGGGGCUCGCUGCCCAUCCCGUCGUGGAUCGCCAAUGGCCUGGCGAUCAUCUCGCUCGUGCUCUCCUCCUGCGACCUGCUCCACCUCUGUAGCGAUAGGGACCACUGUUGACGGUCCUUAAGUAUCAAAUUUAAUUAUCAAAUAAACAAAGAAAAUGAUCCAAAUGGAAUCAACAUCCAGACUUAGGGUUUUAUAUGACAAAAUUCCACGAGUUUUGGUGUUUGUCUAUUUCUGCAGGGGGUUAUUAGGAAAUACGGAAGAAAGGCCCACACGUCGGGAUUACAUAGACAUAUCAACGUGCCGCGCAAUUAUCUUACAUCUAGAAGACUCCAGAAGCCACGGGAAGGAAGCAGAGGCCGAACGGGGCUAGGCACUGGGCGCCCACCUAGUUGACCUGGGCGCCCGCCCCCUCAUAGAAUUGGAUGAGGACUCUCUUUCGGGACUAAUCUCCACCGACCUAAGGGAUCAAGGAUAAUCGUUCAAUCUAUGUCGGUUUGAUCCAACGGCCCAUAUUCACUUGAAGGGACUAUAAAACCAGACCCCCUAGCCCCUAGAGGAGAGAGCCUCUCAACCCUAAUUCAUUAUUCCUCAAGGGAGAAGAAGCCUCUGAUCAAGAUUAGAGCCACCACAUCAAUUAGAUAUCUAGAUUAGCAUAGCUACAUAGGAUUAGAACUAGAAGGAGUCAAUCUUCGAUUGGUUUCUGGAUCUGUCAAGAGGAUUCUUGGUAAUUCUCUAAUGGUUCUUCUAAUUGUUCUUCUAAUCAUCUUUGUUCUUAAAAUAUUAUGGAUAUGACUUUGUUCUACUUCAAUAUAUUGCUUAUGAUUUUGCUCUACUUGUUUAUAUUCAAGAUUAAAUUGUUCUUAGUCUAUCAUAGUUAUAUACUUGGCUUAGUUAGAUUGGAUCUAUAUACAUGUUUAGGAUCGUAUAGCGUUUAUCCGUUGGAUCCAUGGGUAAAUGAUAGAUAUUGUGUAGGGGUGGUGCUUAUACCGUAUUUAUCUGCGAUUGUACUCGAUAUGCCAGAUCGUGGGGUAGUUCGUGAUAGUGACAGCUUCAUUGAUUCUUAUAUAGUCCCCCUCUCGUGUAUUGGGCUGGCAGAGCAACAUUAUUACAGGGGAGUGAUUGCUAUGUUUCUCAUUUACCUUGCUAAUAUCACUAUGCAUAGGCGUAGUCUUGUCUCGCAAUGAUUGCUAAGUACGCUUGCACUAACUAUGAUAAUGCUAGACUAUAUAGUUGAGAAUAACUUAGGAAAUAUUCUUGUAGUUCGUUCUAAUUCCAUGCUAAUGACUUUCUAGAAUAUUUAAUUGAGGUGCUUAUCAUAUUUAUUAUGUGGCUAAGUUAUGCUGAUCAGAUUAAUUAUCCUUGUCACUAUUCAUUACUUCAUAUAUCUUUUAUGUGACAUUUAUCCCUCUAUGAAAGAGUUAGAUAAAUGUUCUCAAUUAUAUAUGCAAUGAUAGAUACUCAAUCUCAUAUUCCAUUCUAUAAUCAACAUUGAUGAUUACUAAUCCCUUCCCAGUGGUAAAAAUAUAAAUAACGAUACCUGGAAUACUUCCCGGUUAAAAUGCUACAUCGGUAUUAAUCUGUGCGCUUGCAGAUCCCAUUCAUUAUUUAUUUAGAAGAGCAAUUGCAUAUUUCAAUAUCGCGUCUGUCAUGUCAUGCUGGGGAUGACAACUUGGCUUAAGUGGCAUGGGAGAUAGGUUUGGCAUUUUUGGCACCGUUAUCAGAAUUAGAAAACUAAGUCUACUUUUGGUAGUGAUGUUAAGAAUAUCCAACAAGCAUUUUGGCGCAGUUGCCGGGGAAGGUUGAUUACUAAUCAGGAAUGAAUAUAGGAUUUUGAGUUAUCAUUCGCAUCACUAAUAUGAUUGAGCUUAUCAAUUCUCUCAUACAGUUUUCCCACGAUAUUUUUCUAUUUUUAUCUUAUGCAGGGGAAUGUAUGAAUAGAAGACAUCUUCUAGGAAAUUUUGUUGACAAUCCCGAAGCAUUAUUCAGAAAAACAAGAGCCAAGCUCAAGAAGAGAUCAUCAACACUACAGUAAGAAGCUUCAUCCAAUCAAGAAGAUCACCGGAACUUGUCUUCAGCUCCCAUGGCGAACAAAUCAAUCCGCGAGUUCUCAGCUCCCAAUACGGACAACAUCCGCACUGGACCUGCUGCAGAGAUCGAUGGCAACUUUGAGAUCAAGCCUGGACUUAUCAACAUGGUGCAAUCCAACUAGUUCUAUGGGAAGGCACACGAAGAUGCUAGUGCUCAUCUCCAACACUUCCUGGAGAUUUACAGUACAUUCACCAUACCAGGAGUCCCCAGAGAUGCUAUACUACUUCGCCUCUUCCCAUUCUCACUGUUAGGGAGAGCGAAGCAGUGGUUCUACGCUACAAAGGAGAAGAAUACUACGUGGGCACUCUGCUCCACGAACUUCCUGGCUAAGUUCUUUCCCAUGGGCAAGACCAAUGCUCUCCGUGGGAAGAUUACAAGUUUUCAGCAACAACAUGACGAAUCCGUUCCAGAAGCAUGAGAGCGCUUCCAAGACUACAUCCUAGAAUGUCCCCAUCAUGGAAUGGAGAGUUGGCUACUAAUGCAGACGUUUUAUCAUGGGCUUGGCAACAGUGCCCGAGAGACCAUGGAUGCUGCAGUUGGAGGAGCAUUCUUAUCACUUACCAUAUCACAAGCCACAACUCUUGUCAAGAAGAUGGCGUCCAACCAAGGCUGGAAUGAAGAGAGGACCCAGACACGCAAGAGAGGUGGAGGUAUGCAUCAGCUCAAGGAGGUAGACAUGCUGUCUGCAAAGCUAGACCUGCUCAUGAAGAAGCUCAAUGAUAGAGCUGGAGACAAGAAAGAAGUUAUGCACAUCUACGACUCUCACAUGACUUAUGAGGAGUGUGGAGAUACUGGACACUUAGGCAAUCACUGCCCUGAGAUGCUUGAGGAUGUGAACUACAUCAACAACAAUAACAACAACAACUACUACAACCGUCCUCAACAAAAUCAAGGUUGGAAUCAAAAGAGGCCUAACUACUCAUGUAAUUAUCAAGGUAAUAAUUCUUACAACAAUAAUACCAAUAAUUUUCCACCUCUGAGAGAGUUAGUGACUAAUCAAGGAAAGCUAAUGGAUAAUCUAUCUAAGAAAUUGGCAUCUAAUGAUAAAAUGCUAGAAAAUAUAAAUAAUAGAAUGGAUAAUUUCUCUACUGCCAUCAAGAAUCAAAUUAGCUUUAAUAAAAUGAUUGAAUCUCAGUUAAAUCAAAUAGCUGCUGCUGUUCCUGCUACUAACCCCGGUAUACCAUCACAACCGGAAGGAUUAGAAUCUACAAAUCUUGUAGACAUAUUUGAUGCAGGUAAUUGGAGUAACCCCGUCAUUGAAUUCACUACUGACCUUCUGCCGGUCAAGAGAGGCGAUCCAGGACGCCCCGUCAUCCCGAUCUCCAUCGGCAUGGUGGACGUCCCAGAAGCACUCUGCGACUUUGGCUCUAGCGUCAACAUUAUACCCACGGUACUCUAUGAAAAAUUCUUUACAUAUCCUUUAUUAGAAACAACCAUGUGUUUGCAGUUUGCAGAUCAGACAAUAAGUUUUCCAAAAGGAAUAUUGAAGAACCUUUGUGUCCGAGUUGGUACCUUGUAUGCCCUAGCAGACUUCGUGGUGAUAGAGACCGGUAAUGAUGAGAGGGCACCCAUCAUCUUUGGGAGGCCAUUCUUGAACACCUCGGGUGCUGUCAUCUACGCUAGUGCUGCCAAGAUCAGUUUCUACAUCAAAGUGAGGAAGGAGACAUUUUCCUUCAAUAACGAGACUACACAAAUUCCAGAUAACUCCAGACGUGAAUCAAGGAAGAGGACCAACAGGAGGAACAGGAACAAGCAAGUGUGGACCGAGUCAGCUAAGAUGGUCACUGCAGUUCAUGGAGGUCAAGAUCAUCAACUUAAGUCACCAUUUUUGACUAAGAAGGACGACCUAGGAAUGCCAAGCAUCUAUUGCUCCAUAAAUGGAUACAACUUCUACAAGACGUUUUGCGACACCGGAUCGGGCGUCAACAUAAUGGCCACAGUCACCUAUCGGCUAUUGUUCGGAACCAUGCCCUUAAAACCAACAUACAUUCAGCUCCAGAUGGUAGAUCAGAUGUUUCGAGAGGUUAAAGGAACAGUAACUGAUGUCCCAGUCAAAAUAGACGAUCAUUUUGUCUACACAUACUUUCAAGUUAUUGACAUGGGAGAAGACGAGUACGAUCCACCCAUCAUCCUUGGAAGACCGUUCCUCAGCACCGUUAAAGCAAUCAUCUACAUUGGAACUGGAGAAGUCCAUAUGCACUUCCCCUCAGAGAAGGUACGCCGCUAUUUUACUGACCCUAACUAUAUCAUUGAAGAAUCUAAGCAGGUUAGAAAACUACGCAAUCGCAACCAGAGGAGGCAAAUCAUCAAGGACGGAUGGGCAGACUAUGAAGGAGAAGUGGUAAGGUCAGAAGACAUUCAGUUUAAACAGAAUUAUCCAGAGGAGACCGUAGCACCGAGUCAGGUAUGGAAAGAGAAGAUAACUAUACAUGAAGAGGAGGCGCCACCGGAAGUACCGACUCCGCCACCCAACGAAUCCCAGGACAACUAGAAAACGAAGAGUCCCGUUCGGAGGACUUAAAAACACCGAACGCCUUGCCAAGAGGUAAACUUGGUAGUUAUCCUUUCCCUUUCAAUUAUUUUAAAUAGUUUACCUAGUUAAUCAUGUUCAUACUAUCCUAAAAAGAAAAUAAAAAUGUUAAAAACAGUAAGCCCCAUGUGAGUAUACAAGUGGAAUGAAACCCAUAAGUACAUUUAUUGUGGUGGCAUAAAAAUAAAAUAAAUAUUUCUUUUCUGCUUUAUAAAAUGAAAAUAUAAAAAUAGGGAGUAAUAUUAAGGAGGCUCAACAUGAUAAAGGGUAGAUAUUUAUGCUAACACUUAAUCAGUUCCACAAAGCUUUGUUGUCUAUUUGAGCUCCACAGAAUUUAAGAAUCAAGAAGACUAGCAAACGGAGGACAUUCUAAUCGCUGUCAAGAUACUGCCGACUUUCAAAUACACCUCUGCCACCUGCUAGCUACGUCAAGAGAAAUUACGUCAAAAUUCAGCUUGGGGGAGAGCACCCCCAUUUAUCCCGAUAAGUAUUUCUAUCUAUCUAUCUUUAUACUUAUACUAUAUUAAAAUAUAGAUAUACAUUUGGAAAACCAAAUAAAGAUUUUAUGCUUAUAUAUAUAUCUUUUGCUUAGUGCGUUUAAUAAAUAAAUAAAGUCGCUAUGCCAAUCUGAAUCUUAAUAAUAAAACUCUAGCAUGGAUAUGAUGAAUAGUUGCUCUGCCUAAUUUUUUUAUAAAACAAUUGAAGUUCUCUCUCAAGUUUAGACAUAACUGUUAUAAUUUGAAGCUUGCUCUAGACCUAAACUUGUGGGAAGAAAACUUGAUCUGAAAUCUAAGUUGUUAACGGAUAUGAUAUGGGAAUGUUGAGCUGUUGUUUAUCUGUUCCUAGAGAUGCUAGAAUUCUAGAGAAUUUUAUCUUUGAAAAUCUUUAAAAAUGUUGCAUGAUGAGUUCCUCUAUGAUGACAGUUUAAAUUCCUACCACAACCAUACAUACAUGCUUACUAGACUUUGAGCCACACAUUUACUUUUUACUACUUAUGAACAUUGAGUGUGGUCAAGCUGUGUAGACCCUUAGGGGCUUGUCAUGUGGUUAAAUCAAGAUUCACUUGCACGUUCACUCACACAUGCUACUUCUACUCUGGAAGUACCAUCCACAUAUAUUCACCCAUUUCCGUCUCCAGAACCACCCAAAAAUAUUCUACUCCUAAUUCGGGAGAGAAUAGCCAAAAAUAUUUCUAUUUUUCCCUGUGAAAUAACUGCUCAAGUUAUCUUGUUACUACCACUUGUUAUAUUAUCUCAUGACAAGAGUGCUCUAAAAAAAGAAGAUACGAGGAAAUAAAAAGGGGCAAGUGCCCGGAACCUCGAAAGAAAAGAAAAAGUGAGACGAGAGGUAAAAAUGGACAAGUGUCCGACAGUAGAAUUAGAGAUACAAGAUACCCACCUGAGAGGAAAGAAAAAGAAAAUAUAGAGCAUCUCAUUCUCCUCAAAAAGUUUCAAAAGAAGCAAGAAAGGUAUGUAUCCCAUCAAAAGAGCACAAGUAGAAUUAGACUUUCACCAUUGUUAUCACCAUUAUCACCAUACACCAUUCAUUCGCCACACAUGCACAUCUUGAUUUGACUUAUUGAUUUGUUUCUUUGGAUCCAUGGUUUGACUAUACAAUAAAUGUCUUGUGAGUAUGUAUACUUUAUCUCCCACCUAUGAGCUCCAGAUAUUAAAGCCUUAUUAGAGUAGGGUGAGAGAGAAGGCAAUGUCACUAUGCAUUAUACCACAAAUACCACAUAUUUUGAGAGAAGGCAUAUACCAUCACUGCCUUGGUAAGGAUCCAGAAAUACCACAAAAGAGAGAUAUGAGAGAGUCAUACAAGGAAUCUCUGAGUUUUAUUUGAAAAUCUGCAAAAACUCC
Molecule: long non-coding RNA, 44106 nt
Filed under: Sorghum bicolor (sorghum)
Lineage: Eukaryota; Viridiplantae; Streptophyta; Magnoliopsida; Poales; Poaceae
Description: long non-coding RNA (SBIC_LNC014133)
Source: RNAcentral